Molecule: ribosomal RNA, 454 nt
Filed under: uncultured bacterium
Lineage: Bacteria
Description: partial 16S ribosomal RNA
Rfam family: Bacterial small subunit ribosomal RNA
Source: RNAcentral
GAUGAACGCUGACAGAAUGCUUAACACAUGCAAGUCUACUUGAACUUCGGUUUGGGUGGCGGACGGGUGAGUAACGCGUAAAGAACUUGCCUCACAGAUAGGGACAACAUUUGGAAACGAAUGCUAAUACCUGAUAUUAUGAUUUUAGGGCAUCCUAGAAUUAUGAAAGCUAUAUGCACUGUGAGAGAGCUUUGCGUCCCAUUAGCUAGUUGGAGAGGUAACGGCUCACCAAGGCGAUGAUGGGUAGCCGGCCUGAGAGGGUGAUCGGCCACAAGGGGACUGAGACACGGCCCUUACUCCUACGGGAGGCAGCAGUGGGGAAUAUUGGACAAUGGACCAAGAGUCUGAUCCAGCAAUUCUGUGUGCACGAUGAAGUUUUUCGGAAUGUAAAGUGCUUUCAGUUGAGAAGAAAAAAAUGACGGUACCAACAGAAGAAGUGACGGCUAAAUACGUG